UACAGAGGGUGCAAGCGUUGUCCGGAAUCACUGGGCGUAAAGGGCGCGUAGGCGGGCCUCCAAGUCCGGGGUGAAAUCCUCCAGCCUAACUGGAGAAGAGCCUCGGAGACUGGGGGCCUCGAGGGAGGUAGGGGCGUGCGGAACUAUGGGUGGAGCGGUGAAAUGCAUUGAUAUCCAUAGGAACUCCGGUGGCGAAGGCGGCACGCUGGACCUCUUCUGACGCUGAGGCGCGAAAGCCAGGGGAGCAAACGGG
RNAcentral lists this ribosomal RNA (253 nucleotides) under uncultured bacterium. RNAcentral's name for it is "partial 16S ribosomal RNA". It matches the Rfam family "Bacterial small subunit ribosomal RNA", at positions 524 to 776 of the family's 1533-position model. The record is from RNAcentral.